Non-coding RNA from Poecilia reticulata (guppy), 284 nucleotides. Lineage: Eukaryota; Metazoa; Chordata; Actinopteri; Cyprinodontiformes; Poeciliidae. The record is from RefSeq and is a predicted model, not a curated record.
UUUUUUUAUCUGCGAUAGAUUUCUCUAGACGCGCAAAGAUCUGAUUACAACCAGACCUUCGCUUAACUAGAACCUCCCUGACAACAUGAAGUAGGCUAAAAGCAACUCCUCAAGCCACAGCUCCGUUCGGAAGAAUGGUGCUUCUGGUCUGCUCUCAAGAAAUCUCUCCCGUCCCGCCCUUCAGCAGGGAAGGCCGUCUCUGCACAUUUGAUUGACACUGCCACUUCCUUAAAUUUCCUUUCAGUGCUUUUACCACAACGAGAAAAAAAAUACAUGUCCAUGAA